GCACAUGAGACUUGUGGGUUCCAUUUACCAGCUUAGCACUCUGAUCAUAGGAAUUUGCUAGCAUCGAAAUCAUUCUGCGCAACAGAUUUCUUCUGAAGAGAAAAAUAGCAGAAACUCCUCUGGUUUUGAAAUAAUCAACAAUUUGCUCAUGAUUCUGCAUCAGACCCUGAUUAAGCAUCCACUUGAGUCCAACUGCAGCAGUACAUUCAUUCUUGGAAGCACUCGUAAAAAAG
Molecule: unclassified non-coding RNA, 233 nt
Filed under: Hevea brasiliensis (rubber tree)
Lineage: Eukaryota; Viridiplantae; Streptophyta; Magnoliopsida; Malpighiales; Euphorbiaceae
Source: RNAcentral